RNAcentral lists this ribosomal RNA (342 nucleotides) under Triticum aestivum (bread wheat). Its description in RNAcentral is "partial small subunit ribosomal RNA". Lineage: Eukaryota; Viridiplantae; Streptophyta; Magnoliopsida; Poales; Poaceae. The record is from RNAcentral.
AUGAUCUACGGAGCUGAGGCGGUUCUCCCUAGCGACAUCCGUCAUGACUCGCCUCGUGUGGCGGCUUAUGUUGAAGCAGAUAAUGAACAGGCACGUCAGGAUGCUCUUGACCUGUUAGAUGAACAGCGGGACUUGGCAGCAACUCAUUCAGCGAUUUACCAACAGGAUUUGCGCCGCUAUCACAGCCGCCGAGUUAAGUCCAGAGCCUUUCAGGAAGGUGAUUUGGUGCUCCGGCUCAUCCAGGAUCAAACUGAUGCACACAAGUUAUCCCCACCUUGGGAAGGGCCCGUUGUGGUCAGCAAUAACUUGAACAACGGGUCAUAUUACCUUAUCGAUGUUUGA